GAAAAGGAAAAGGAAAAGGAAAAAUCGUCUCCAAACUUUCAAGACAACAUUCAUCGUCUGAGUUCAUAUUCAUGUUUUCUAUAAAGUCUUUUCUCAAUUCUCAUCGUCAUGGCAAUUGCAGAUAAAGAAUUUAUUUUUCUGCGCAAUAAUUACUCUUCUUCUAAGGUAUAAUAAGGACUCAUUUAAAAUCAAUUUUGAAAGUACAAAAAUGAUCUAUACUUCAUAAGCUGCUAUUUG
Molecule: unclassified non-coding RNA, 237 nt
Filed under: Hevea brasiliensis (rubber tree)
Lineage: Eukaryota; Viridiplantae; Streptophyta; Magnoliopsida; Malpighiales; Euphorbiaceae
Source: RNAcentral